AACGAACGCUGGCGGCAGGCCUAACACAUGCAAGUCGAGCGCCCCGCAAGGGGAGCGGCGGACGGGUGAGUAACACGUGGGAAUUUUCCUCAAGGUACGGAACAACUCAGGGAAACUUGGGCUAAUACCGUAUGAUGCAGAGAUGCCAAAGAUUUAUCGCCUUGGGAUAAGCCCGCGUCAGAUUAGGUAGUUGGUGGGGUAAUGGCCUACCAAGCCUGUGAUCUGUAGCUGGUCUGAGAGGACGAUCAGCCACAUUGGGACUGAGACACGGCCCAAACUCCUACGGGAGGCAGCAGUGGGGAAUCUUGCGCAAUGGGCGAAAGCCUGACGCAGCCAUGCCGCGUGAAUGAUGAAGGUCUUAGGAUUGUAAAGUUCUUUAGCCUGUGACGAUGAUGACGGUAACAGGAGAAUAAGCCCCGGCUAACUUCGUGCCAGCAGCCGCGGUAAAAAGUGUGUGUA
Molecule: ribosomal RNA, 459 nt
Filed under: uncultured bacterium
Lineage: Bacteria
Description: bacterial SSU rRNA
Rfam family: Bacterial small subunit ribosomal RNA
Source: RNAcentral